Long non-coding RNA from Megalobrama amblycephala (Wuchang bream), 2328 nucleotides. RefSeq lists it as uncharacterized. The transcript is spliced from 6 exons. NCBI's taxonomy places the organism in Eukaryota, Metazoa, Chordata, Actinopteri, Cypriniformes, Xenocyprididae. The record is from RefSeq and is a predicted model, not a curated record.
CCAUUUGUUGCCAUAAGGCGCAAAUGCAAGUGUUGCGCAUGCUCACUGAAGUCUGAGUUCAAAAAACAACAUCUGAAGGCGCAAUGGCGAUCUACUGUCUGACUCAGCGAAAAGGAGGAUUUGGAUGAAUAGAUGUGGAUGUUUUACAAGAAACCUCAUCAGUGGGACAAUAACUCAAUUAUGAUAUGUGAGUUUUGUGGAAACGUAAAGUGUGUGGAAGAAGCAUCACAGAACUAUCCAGUAUGUUUAAGUAAUUGAAACAUUCUAAGAUUAAAUUUGGACAUUUUGAGGAGAGAUUCAGUCAACCUGUUCACAGUAAAUUAAAUAAAAGCGGAAUUAAUGCGGAUAACGACUGUGCCACUUCUGUCAAUGUUCAUAGCAGCUGGACAGAUACACUGACAAAAGAUAUCACACACAUUGCAGUUGCAGACAAGUGCGAAGAUAUACACUUCAAAUGAGACUGUGUCAUAAAGAGUCUGUGUGUGUAUCUCAAUGGGGACAUUACAACACUUCCAGUUCUCCAGAAUUCUUCCAGAAUUCCAGGACUGCAAUCCUGAAGGAACUGAGGGAGGAAUUUUGAGACCACUCUGGGCCCUUUUGUGACCCUUAAAGAAAGCGCUGAGGAUGAGCCAGUGGAUGUUGGCGUAGCAACAGAGGGUUUAAAACUACUACAACACUUAGGAGUUUUUCCUUUGGAUGCUGUUUGCUGUUUGGAUUGAUCUACACAAUCAAGCUAUGCUCCGAGUCUCAAAUUCACUUUUGAAUUCUUCCAGAAGGUACUGAUGAAUUUAGAUUUUAGGACAUCACACAGAUGUUUCGAUCCACUGGAAGGACUUAGAAACUUUGAAACCUAAGAAACAUUGAAUUGAAGACUAUGAUCAAUGACACUAUGAACCAAUGACACUAACUCAAAUCAAGAGACUACAUCUAAUGCACCUUAUGGCUUCCUCAAACUCUGAUAUUUUUAAAGGGUUAGUUCACCUAAAAAUGAAAUUUCUGUCAUUAAUUACUCACCCUCAUGUCGUUCCACACCUGUAAGACCUUUGUUCAUCUUUGGAACACAAAUUAGGUUAUUUUUGAUUAAAUCCGUGAGCUAUCUGACCUCAGAUAGACUGCAACACAACUACCACUUUCAAGGCCCAGAAAGGUAGUAAAGACAUUGUUAAAAUAGUCAAUGUGACUGCAGUGGUUCAACCUUAAUGUUAUGAAGUGACAAGAAUACUAUUUGAGCGCAAAAAACAAAACAAAAAAACGACUUUCUUCCCUUUUAUGUCAUGCUCCUACGCAGCUGAGGUUGUACACAAAUAAUAUCUUAAUUUGUGUUCUGAAGAUUAAUGAACGUCUUAGGGGUUUGGAGCAAAAUUAGGGUGAGUAAUUAAUGAAAGAAAUUAAAUUUUUGGGUGAACUAACCCUUUAACAGAGAUGUUAGCCCUUGUGCUAUUCCUUGUCCAGGAAGUUAACUUGUGAGUAGGACACUUGGGCUGCUGAAUGUCUAAAUGCUGAAAUGUGACAGAUAACAGAAAACCUGUUAUAUGUAAAGUCAAAUAUAAUCCCUCAAAUUGCUUUUCUUUUUUCCCCAAGUGUCCCAAGCAAAAGCACAAACUGACUACCAUACUAUGCAGAGAGAUCCCAAUGUUACCUUGAAUAUAUGAAAAUAAUGCUUGAUGUUGAAAUUUGGUUCCUUGUUGAUCUAUGAACUUUUUGGCACACAGACUUAAACUAAAAAGUCAAACAAGGAGCCAUAACCAUUGUGUUAGUUUCGGAGAAAGCACAAAACUGCUGUAAACAGUUGUCUUAACUUGUGAAAUACUGCAUUAUGUUCUAUUUUUUGUCAGAUUGGAUGUUUCUUAUUAUUCCUGCAGCAAUUGAGACAAUAAAUUUUUAUGAAUGUAACAUGUGUUUGACCAUUUAUUUAAUAUAAAUAAAUUAAUUUAAGGUAGUUAUAUAAAGCAAGUAAGAAUAAGUUAUAUUAAAAGAAUAAGUUUUAUGUAUUACACAAGCUUAAAUUGCAGUUUAUUAGUUAACAUAACCUUUAUUUAAUUAAUUCAAGUCAACCGAACAUGAUGGGGAAGCUUAAGUAAAAGUUAACUUUUUUACAUUGGAUUUAUGUGAUUAAAAUGGAUGGAAAUUUUAUAUGCAAUUGAAUUACAUAAGUUUUAAUUUUUGGGGUUAAAUAUUUUUUUGAGUGUGAAAAUUAAAGAGAAAAUGAGAGUGGAUGCACAUGAACUAAUACAGCUGUGUUUGCUCAAAAUCUGGCUUUCUUAGACCAGAUCGUCUAGGAUGAAUCCAGCUAAUUAUUCGUUUUAAUUAAACACGUGCCUUCCUUAU